Peromyscus eremicus (cactus mouse) is the source of this 1196-nucleotide non-coding RNA. Lineage: Eukaryota; Metazoa; Chordata; Mammalia; Rodentia; Cricetidae. The record is from the annotation of a RefSeq genome assembly.
AUGAAGUUGACUAUUCUGAUGUUGUUGCUGCUGUUGUUCUUGAUUCCUGCUUCCAGGGGUGAUGUUAUGAUGACCCAAACUCCACUGGCCCUGCCUGUCAGUCUUGGAGAUCAAGCCUCUAUCUCUUGCAGAUCUAGUCAGAGCCUUGUACAUAAUAACGGAAACACCUAUUUGAAUUGGCUCCUGCAGAAACCAGGCCAGUCUCCACAGCUCCUGAUCUACAAAGUUUCCACCCGAUUUUCUGGGGUCCCAGACAGGUUCAGUGGCAGUGGGUCAGGCACAGAUUUCACACUCAAGAUCAGCAGAGUGGAGCCAGAGGAUUUAGGAGUUUAUUACUGCAUGCAAGCUACACAUGUUCCUCCCACAGGUCCUGGAACCAAGAGAGCGUUCGCCGAUCCAGAUCUCGGGUCCCCAGGCGCCUCCCUUGGCCCCGCCUUGUAGGCGUGACAGUUGCCGAAGUCUCAAUGGGGGUUGGAACUUCCAGAACAAAGCUGGAAUGGCUACCCACUACAUCUCCCCCUUUUUGUCUAAAUAAGAAAGUUCUAACCUAAUACAAGACUAUAUACAAAGGAAUGGUUAUCAAAUAUUGUCCAGGAAUAAUGAGGGAUAAUGACCUAGAUAAAUGGAACUACAACCAAUGCAAACAAUAUCAAGCAAGAAACACAUAUUAAAAUCCAGAGACGUAUAGAGCAUAGGUAAAUGGCAUGUUACAAAGAUCAUUCCAAAAGGUGUCCUAUCCUAAAGAACCUAAAUCUAAUACUUAAUAUGUUCUAUCUACUAAGUUGUAACUAUAACUGCUAGUCUUCAAUCCCAUCAAAGACCUGAGAAGGAAUAUAAUGGUACCUGAGAAAUGGUAGAUGGAUGCAAGCAACUUUCGGGAAUCUUGCGAGAGUAGACCGAGACAGCUGGCAGCCUGGACAGUCACCUAAUGUUUCUCAGCAUUGUUGGUGCAUUCAAAUUGGCUACAGGCCUAAAGUAUCUGACAGACCAUUUUCAGAAGCAGGAAUUCUGAAAGACCAUCUUACCCUGUCUUGGCAGAGUACAGUGGUCGCUUUCCUUGUGUCCCGCUUGUCCAGAAAGGAUAGCAUUGCAUUUGUACUGUCAGCCGUCGAGGCAAGGGCAGUUCUUUGCCCAGUAGGCCAUUUUGUGCCAAGAAGACAAACUUCCAAAUGGAAAUGUCUAGAAGCCCAACAUUC